Eupeodes corollae is the source of this 469-nucleotide long non-coding RNA. RefSeq lists it as uncharacterized. Lineage: Eukaryota; Metazoa; Arthropoda; Insecta; Diptera; Syrphidae. The transcript is spliced from 2 exons. The record is from RefSeq and is a predicted model, not a curated record.
UCCUAAAAUCAUUUGCUUAAUUUGAGGGUUAAUGAACAUUUGAAGCAAAGUUCAGUAUAAAUAGUUUCCAAAUCGACGAUUUAGACAACAGACACUCAUUUGCCUUUGGUCAAUUCAGUUCAAUCUCAAAACAACACAAACCUCUAUUCACAAUGAAGUUCAUCUUGGUUACCCUUUUGGUUUGCUUUGCUGUUAUGUUGGCAGUAGUAUCAGCUGCUCCAUCUGAAGAAGGAAUUUUCGGGGAUUUGCCCGACAGUGAUAUCUACAAUCCACAGGAACCAAAUGAAUCAUUGAAAUUGUUGCUGUUGAAGAAACUCAAGCUUAAGCUGUUGAAGGGUUAGGUUGUGAAUACCAAACACCAUAAAAUUGGAUUUUAAUUUAGAAAAGACUUCAUUUUGUUACAUCAAAAUGCAUUAGUGUUAAGUUGUUGUUUUUGUUAGUAGAAAUAAAAAAAAGCUGUUUAAAAAAA